RNAcentral lists this microRNA precursor (130 nucleotides) under Marmota monax (woodchuck). Lineage: Eukaryota; Metazoa; Chordata; Mammalia; Rodentia; Sciuridae. The record is from RNAcentral.
AUUGGAAUCACCUGGAGGGCUUGUUAAAACACAGGUUGCUGGGCAGCACCCUCCCUCAGAAUUUCUCUUCCAGUGGGUCUGGAGUGAGCCUGAGAGUUUGUAUUUUUAACAGGUCCCAGGUGAUGCUGAU